CAUAGACAUUUUAUUUUUCUCCAUCAUCCACACUGUUCAAAGUCAUUUAGAUGAUAAUUAUGUACCCACCAGAAACUAUUGACAACAGUUCGAAUGAAUAUGGCUCCAAAUUGAGUCUUGAAGAAAUUAUCCAGCUGAAAAAAAUGGACACCGAAUAAUACGUUUUAUUAUAUUAACAAUUAAACAAUGUAAGGAUGGUAUCAAGAUGGCAUAUGAUGAAUUAAAAUGAAGAUGAUCAUGAAGAAGAUGAUCAUGAUUAUGAUCUUGUGAAGCUCCUUUCAGAACAACUAACGACACUAUCAAUGGUAAAAUUAAAUCAAAUUAGUUACCUGGGUAGCCACUUGAUUUGCCAAUUUCAGGAACUCUGGUGAACUGCUGUUGAUCAGAGAGCUAUUGAAGGUCAAUGUUAGGCUGAACUGCAGUGACAAUUGAAGUGUGGUCGGUGGAGCAUCUGUUGCUGAGGUUAACUUUGUAGCUGUUGUGUUGACUACUGUGGUACUUACGCACAUGCAUUUACACACAAACUGUUGGUGAACUGCAUCCCCUUUUGACUUCCCACACUGUUUAUCACUAUCCAGCUGAGUCUGUUCCUUUCCCUCAAGGUUAGAAACCUCUGGCAGUUUUUACUCCUUUUACCAUCUGUCCUCUGUGACCAUGGGCACACUAAAUACUCACACACAUUUCUUUCCCUCUACAGCCUCUACUAGAUUUUCUGGGACUAAUCGGACUAAUCAAUCACUACAUUGAUCAUUACAUUGAUUAUUCAUUAACCAUGCUGUAUGACUAAUAAUUCAUCAUGGUUUAUUGAUUCAUUUAGCUUUAUUAGAUAAUUCUCUUAUCAAUUCCACCCUUAAAUGAUUAAAUAAUUCACCAUGAUGAUCAAACGCUAUAUGGGAACACUACUAAUCACAUGCUAUAUGUAACACAAUUAAUCACAUGCUAUAUGUAAGCACUAUUAAUCACAUGCUAUAUGUAAACACAAUUAAUCACACGCUAUAAGUAAACACAAUUGUGAUACAAGACUUUAACAAAACCAAGACAUGAAUAUUCCUCCUAUACUCAUCAAUGACUGUCCUAGGCCUAUUUCCAAUUAUGACACUUCGAUUCAGGAUUUUCAUCAUAAUUUUCAUUAAAGGAACAGUCAAUCUAAACGUUGAAAAUUGUUUCAUCAAACAUUGGCAUCUCAUGAUAAUAAAAAGAAACGGAGCCAUCUUCCUGGCCUGGAGGGCCGCAUUCGCCAUCCCACUGAUCGGUGCUCGGAAUCGGUCCAUAUCUCACCAACUGCUGCGUCAUCGAUCUCUCGAGAGUCCUGGUGAUUAAACCUCUAGCACGGGACGAUACAACAUCCACACAACACAAACACACUCAUACAGGUGAAAGCAGCCCAUAAUACAGUUCUUACCACACUUUUCCAUUUCCCAAACAUGGGCUGUGUUAUCAGGAAUGUACGUGCAGCAAUGAACCUAAUCAUUCUACCUACACCGCCCUCUUCUGCCAAUAACAUAUCGCGAGUCAGUCUAUUUUACCCGGCCAUGAGGGAGAUGGCGGAUAAUUGGUCAGAGAACCUCUUUACUGCAUCCCCGGUUUCAUUCAUGAAUCUCUGUUGAUUAUAAAAGGUGUCAUUAAUCCAAUCCACAUUUUUAUUUAUUGUCAACCACCAAAAUAAUGUAGUGUUAAAGCCUUCACAUAUUUGAUUCACAGCUUUGUAUUCAUCUGGAACUUCCCUGAAGAUGCCAAUAGCAUCCAUCUAGACAAAGCUACUCCCAUCCUGGUCAAAACUCCUCCUGUGCCUACUUUAGCCUCCUAUAACUGGCCUCUGAUGACUAACUCGAACUGGUUGGACCUAUAACCCCACCCUUUGUGGUAAUUUGUCGUAUGCUUCCUUUGCUGGUACUAGCCCACCCUACAUCAGUUAUAGGUGCUGGGUUAGCUGGAGGAGCUGUUGUGUUAACAAUAUUUGUCGUUGAAGCUGCUGUGGUCGUUGUGGGAGCAUCUGUGGGUGUUGUGGGGAUGGCUGUGGUUGUUGUGCGAGGAUCUGUGGUUUUUGUUGGAGCAGCUGUGGUAGUUGUUGGAGACGCUGUAGUUGAUUUGGGAGCAGUUGUUGUUGUUGUUGGAGUAUCUGUGGUUGUUUUAGCCCCAAUUGUAGUUGUCGUUGGAGCUUCUGGGGUUGUUGUGGAUGUAUCUGUGGUUGUUUUGGGAGAUUCUGUGGUUAUUGUGGGAGCAGCUGUGGUUGUUGUGCGAGCAGCUGUGGUUGUUAUGCGAGCAGCUGUGGUGGUUGUGGGAGCAUCUGUGGUUGUUGUGAGAGUUGAUGUGGUUGUUGUUGGAGUAUCUGUGGUUGUUGUCGCUCCAGUUGUAGUUGUCAUUGGAGCUACUGUGGUUGUGUUGGGAGCAGAUGUGGGUGUUCUGAGGAUAGAUGUGGUUGUUGUGGGUGCAUCUGUGGUUGUUGUGGGAGAUUCUAUGGUUAUUGUGGAAACAGCUGUGGUUGUUGUGGGAGCAGCUGUGCUUGUUGUGCGAGCAGCUGUGGUUGUUGUGGGAGAAGCUGUGGUUGAUGUGGGAGCAGCUGUGGUUGUUUUAGGAGUAUCUGUUGUUGUUGUAGCCCUAAAUGUAGUUGUCGUUGGAGCUGAUGUUGUUGCUGUGGGAGAAGCUGUGGUUGUUGUGGGGACGGCUGUGUUUGUUGUGGGUGCGUCUUUGGCUGUUGUUGGAGAAGCAGUGGUUGUUGUUGGAGAAGCUGUGGUUGUUGUGGUGCUAAGGAUGUUGUGGAUGUAUCUGUGGUUGUUGUGGGAGCAACUGUCAUUGUUGUUGAGGCAGUUGUGGUUGUUGUUGGAGUAUCUGUGGUUGUUGUAGCCCCAAAUGUAUUUGUCUUUUGAGCUGCUGAAGAUGUUGUGGGAGCAUCAGUGGUUGUUGUUGGAACAUCUGGGGUUGUUGUCGGAGCAGCUGUGGUUGUUGUGGGAGCAGCUGUGGUUGUUGUGGGAGCAGCUGUGGUUGUUGUGGGAGAAGCUGUGGUUGAUGUGGGAGCAGCUGUGGUUAUUGUGUGAGCAGCUGUGUUUGUUUUGGGAGUAUCUGUAGUUCUUGUAGCCCCAAAUGUAGUUGUCGUUGGAGCUGCUAUGGUUGUUGUGGGAGAAGCUGUGGGUGAUGUGGGUGCAGCUGUGGUUGUUGUGGGAACAACUGUGGUUGUUGUGGGAGCAGCUGUGGUUGUUGUGAGAGCAGCUGUGGUUGUUGUGAGAGCAGCUUUGGUUGUUGUGGGAGCAGCUGUGUUUGUUGAGGUAUCAGCUGUGGCUGUUGGUAGAGCAGCUCUGGUUGUUGUGGGAGCAGCAAUGGUUGUUGUGGGAGAAACUGUGGUUGUUGUGGGAGAAGUAGUGGUUGUUGUUGGAGCCACUGUGGUUGUUGUGGGUGCAGAUGUGCUUGUUGUUGGAGCCACUAUGGUUGUUGUUGGAAAGUCUGGGGUUGUUGUCAGAGCAGCUGUGGUUGUUGUGGGAGCAACCGUGGUUGUUGUGGGAGCAGCUGUGGUUGCUUUGGGUGCAGAUGUGGUUGUUGUUGGAGCCACAGUGGUUGUUGUUGGAACGUCUGGGGUUGUUGUCGGAGCAUCUGUGGUUGUUGUGGGAAAAGCUGUGGUUGUUGUGGGAGUAGCUGUGGUUGUUGUGGGAGCCACUGUGUUUGUUGUAGGAGAAGCUGUGAGUGUUGGGAGAGCAUCUGUGGUUGUUAUGGGAGCAGCUGUGGUUGUUGUUGGAGCAGCUGUGGUUGUUGUUGGAGAAGCCGUGGUUGUUGUUGGAACAUAUUAGGUUGUUGUCAGAGAAGCUGUGGUUGUUUUGGGAACAGCUGUGGAUGUUGUGGGAGCAACUGUGGUUGGUGUAGGAGCAGCUGUGGAUGUUGUGGGACCAGCUGUGUUUGUUGUGGUAUCAGCUGUGGCUGUUGUUAAAGCAGAUGUGGUGGUUGUGGGAGCAUCUCUGGUUGUUGUGGUAGCAGCUGUGGCUGUUGUUAGAGCAGCUGUGGUUGUUGUGGGAGAAGCUGUGGUUGUUGUGGGAGAAGUAGUGGUUGUUGUUGGAGCCACCGUGGUUGCUGUUGGAGCCACUGUGGUUGUUUUUUGAAAGUCUGGGGUUGUUGUCGGAGCAUCUGUGGUUGUUGUGGAAACAGCUGUGAUUGUUGUGGAAGCAACCGUCGUUGUUGUGGGAGAAGCUGUGGUUGUUGUGGGUGAUGAUGUGGUUGUUGUUGGAGCCACUGUGGUUGUUGUUGGAUCAUCUAUGGUUGUUGUCGGAGCAGCUGUGGUUGUUGUUGGAAAAGCUGUGGUUGUUGUGGGAGCAACAGUGGUUCUUGUGGGAGCAGCUGUGGUUGUUAUGGGAACAGCUGUGGUUGUUGUGGGUGAUGAUGUGGUUGUUGUUGGAGCCACUGUGGUUGUUGUUGGAUCAUCUGUGGUUGUUGUCGGAGCAGCUGUGGUUGUUGUUGGAGCCACUGUGGUGGUUGUGGGAGGAUCUUCGGUUGUUGUGGGAGCAUCUUCGGUUGUUGUGGGUGGAUCUGUGGUUGUUGUGGGAGAAGCUGUGGUUGUUAUGGGAGAAGCAGUGGUUGUUGUUGGAGCCAAUGUCGUUGUUGUGGUUGCAGAUGUGGUUGUUGUUGGAGCUUCUGUAGUGGUUGUGGGAGCAUCUUUGGUUGUUGUGGGAGCAGCUGUGGUUGUUGUGGGUGCAUCUGUGGUUUUUGUGGGAGAAGCUGUGGUUGUUGUUGGAGCAGCUGUAGUUGUUUAUGGAACAUCUGUGGUUGUUGUGGGAGCAUCUUCGGUUGUUGUGGGAGCAUCUUCGGUUGUUGUGGGUGGAUCUGUGGUUGUUGUUGGAGCAGCUGUGGAUGUUGUGGGAGCAGCUGUGGUUGUUGUGGGAGCAACUGUGGUUGUUGUGGGAGCAUCUGUGGUUGUUGUGGGUGCAGAUGUGGUUGUUGUUGGAUCAUCUGGGGUUGUUGUUUUAGCAGCUAUGGUUGUUGUUGGAACAUCUGUGGUUGUUGUGGGAGCAGCUGUGGUUGUUGUGGGUGCAUCUGUGGUUGUUGUGGGAGAUUCUGUGAUUGUUGUCGGAGCAGCUGUGGUUGUUGUGGGAGAAGCUGUGUUUGUUGUGGGAGAAGCAGUGGUUGUUGUUGGAGCCACUGUAGUUGUUGUGGUUGCAGAUGUGGUUGUUGUUGGAGCCACUGUGGUUGUUGAUGGAACGUCUGAGGUGGUUGUCGGAGCAGCUGUGGUUGUUGUUGGAACAUCUGUGGUUGUUGUUGGAGCAGCUGUGGUUGUUGUUGGAACAUCUGUGGUUGUUGUGGGAGCAGAUGUGGUUGUUGUGGGUCCAUCUGUGGUUGUUGUGGGUGCAUCUGUGAUUGUUGUGGGAGAUUCUGUGGUUGUUGUCGGAGUAGCUGUGGUUGUUGUGGGAGAAGCUGUGUUUGUUGUGGGAGAAGCAGUGGUUGUUGUGGGAGAAGUAGUGGUUGUUGUUGGAGCCACCGUCGUUGCUGUUGGAGCCACUGUGGUUGUUGUUUGAAAGUCUGGGGUUGUUGUCGGAACAUCUGUGGUUGAUGUGGAAACAGCUGUGAUUGUUGUGGAAGCAACCGUCGUUGUUGUGGGAGAAGCUGUGGUUGUUGUGCGUGAUGAUGUGGUUGUUGUUGGAGCCACUGUGGUUGUUGUUGGAUCAUCUGUGGUUGUUGUCGGAGCAGCUGUGGUUGUUGUUGGAAAAGCUGUGGUUGUUGUGGGAGCAACCGGGGUUCUUGUGGGAGCAGCUGUGGUUGAUAUGGGAACAGCUGUGGUUGUUGUGGGAGAAAUUGUGGUUGUUGUGGUAGCAACCGUGGUUGUUGUGGGAGCAGCUGUGGUUGUUGUGGGAGAAGCUGUGGUUGUUAUGGGAGAAGCAGUGGUUGUUGUUGGAGCCAAUGUCGUUGUUGUGGUUGCAGAUGUGGUUGUUGUUGGAGCUUCUGUGGUUUUUGUGGGAGAAGCUGUGGUUGUUGUUGGGGCAGCUGUAGUUGUUUAUGGAACCUCUGUGGUUGUUGUGGGAACAGCUGUGGUUGUUAUGGGAGAAGCAGUGGUUGUUGUUGAAGCCAAUGUUGUUGUUGUGGCUGCAGAUGUGGAUGUUGUUGGAGCCACUGUGGUUGUUGUGGGAGCAGCUGUGGUUGUUGUUGGAACAUCUGUGGUUGUUGUGGGAGCAGCUGUGGUUGUUGUGGGAGCAGCUGUGGUUGUUGUGGGUGCAUCUGUGGUUGUUGUGGGUGCAUCUGUGGUUGUUGUGGGAAAUUCUGUGGUUGUUGUCGGAGCAGCUGUGGUUGUUGUGGGAGAAGCUGUGUUUGUUGUGGGAGAAGCAGUGGUUGUUGUGGGAGAAGUAGUGGUUGUUGUUGGAGCCACCGUCGUUGCUGUUGGAGCCACUGUGGUUGUUGUUUGAAAGUCUGGGGUUGUUUUCGGAGCAUCUGUGGUUGUUGUGGAAACAGCUGUGAUUGUUGUGGAAGCAACCGUGGUUGUUGUUGGAGCCACUUUGGUUGUUGUUGGAUCAUCUGUGGUUGUUGUCGGAGCAGCUGUGGUUGUUGUUGGAAAAGCUGUGGUUGUUGUGGGAGCAACCGUGGUUGUUGUGGGAGCAGCUGUCGUUGUUUUGGGAGCAGCUGUGGCUGUUGUGGGAGAAGCAGUGGUUGUUGUAGGAGCAGCUGUGGUUGUUGUUGGAGCAGCUGUUGUUGUUGUUGGAGCAGCUGUGGUUGUUGUUGGAACAGCUGUGGUUGUUAUGGGAGAAGCAGUGGUUGUUGUUGAAGCCAAUGUUGUUGUUGUGGCUGCAGAUGUGGAUGUUGUUGGAGCCACUGUGGUUGUUGUGGGAGCAGCUGUGGUUGUUGUGGGAGCAGCUGUGGUUGUUGUGGGUGGAUCUGUGGUUGUUGUUGGAGCAGCUGUGGUUGUUGUGGGAGCAGCUGUGGUUGUUGUGGGAGCAACCGUGGUUGUUGUGGGUACAGAUGUGGUUGUUUUUGGAUCAUCUGGGGUUGUUGUUGGAGCAGCUGUGGUUGUUGUUGGAACAUCUGUGGUUGUUGUUGGAGCAGUUGUGGUUGUUGUUGGAACAUCUGUGGUUGUUGUGGGAGCAGAUGUGGUUGUUGUGGGAGAAGCUGUGUUUGUUGUGGGAGAAGCAGUGGUUGUUGUUGGAGCCACUGUAGUUGUUGUGGUUGCAGAUGUGGUUGUUGUUGGAACAUCUGUGGUUGUUGUUGGAGCAGCUGUGGUUGUUGUUGGAACAUCUGUGGUUGUUGUGGGAGCAGCUGUGGUUGUUGUGGGAGCAGCUGUGGUUGUUGUGGGUGCAUCUGUGGUUGUUGUGGGUGCAUCUGUGGUUGUUGUGGGAAAUUCUGUGGUUGUUGUCGGAGCAGCUGUGGUUGUUGUCGGAGCAGCUGUGGUUGUUGUGGGAGAAGCUGUGUUUGUUGUGGGAGAAGCAGUGGUUGUUGUGGGAGAAGUAGUGGUUGUUGUUGGAGCCACCGUCGUUGCUGUUGGAGCCACUGUGGUUGUUGUUUGAAAGUCUGGGGUUGUUUUCGGAGCAUCUGUGGUUGUUGUGGAAACAGCUGUGAUUGUUGUGGAAGCAACCGUGGUUUUUGUUGGAGCCACUUUGGUUGUUGUUGGAUCAUCUGUGGUUGUUGUCGGAGCAGCUGUGGUUGUUGUUGGAAAAGCUGUGGUUGUUGUGGGAGCAACCGUGGUUGUUGUGGGAGCAGCUGUCGUUGUUUUGGGAGCAGCUGUGGCUGUUGUGGGAGAAGCAGUGGUUGUUGUAGGAGCAGCUGUGGUUGUUGUUGGAGCAGCUGUUGUUGUUGUUGGAGCAGCUGUGGUUGUUGUUGGAACAUCUGGGGUUGUUGUCGGAGCAGCUGUGGUUGUUGUGGGAAAAGCUGUGGUUGUUGUGGUAGCAACCGUGGUUGUUGUGGGAGCAGCUGUGGUUGUUGUGGGAGCAGCUGUUGUUGUUGUGGGAGAAGCUGUGGUUGUUAUGGGAGAAGCAGUGGUUGUUGUUGGAACCAAUGUCGUUGUUGUGGGUGCAGAUGUGGUUGUUGUUGGAGCUUCUGUAGUGGUUGUGGGAGCAUCUUUGGUUGUUGUGGGAGCAGCUGUGGUUGUUGUGGGUGCAUCUGUGGUUUUUGUGGGAGACGCUUUGGUUGUUGUUGGAGCAGCUGUAGUUGUUUAUUGAACAUCUGUGGUUGUUGUGGGAACAGCUGUGGUUGUUGUGGGAACAGCUGUGGUUGUUGUGGGAGAAGCAGUGGUUGUUGUUGAAGCCAGUGUUGUUGUUGUGGUUGCAGAUGUGGUUGUUGUUGGAGCUUCUGUAGUGGUUGUGGGAGCAUCUUCGGUUGUUGUGGGAGCAGCUGUGGUUGUUGUGGGUGGAUCUGUGGUUGUUGUUGGAGCCACUGUAGUUGUUGUGGUUGCAGAUGUGGUUGUUGUUGGAGCCACUGUGGUUGUUGAUGGAACGUCUGAGGUUGUUGUCGGAGCAUCUGUGAUUGUUGUUGGCACAUCUGUGGUUGUUGUUGGAGCAGCUGGGGUUGUUGUGGGUGCAUCUGUGGUUGUUGUGGGAAAUUCUGUGGUUGUUGUCGUAGCAGCUGUGGUUGUUGUGGGAGAAGCUGUGGUUGUUGUGGGUGCAUCUGUGGUUGUUAUUGGAGCCACUGUGGUUGUUGUUGGAGCCAAUAUUGUUGUUGUGGCUGCAGAUGUGGUUGAUGUUGGAGCCAAUGUGGUGGAUGUGGGAGCAUCUUCGGUUGUUGUGGGAGCAGCUGUGGUUGUUGUGGGUGCAUCUGUGGUUGUUGUUGGAGCAGCUGUGGUUGUUGUGGGAGCAGCUGGAGUUGUUGUGGGUGCAUCUGUGGUUGUUGUCGGAGCAGCUGUGGUUGUUGUGGGAGAAGCUGUGGUUGUUGUUGGAACAUCUGUGGUUGUUGUGGGAUCAGCUGUGGUUGUUGUGGGUGCAGCUGUGGUUGUUGUGGGUGCAUCUGUGGUUGUUGUGGGUGCAUCUGUGGUUGUUGUGGGAGAUUCUGUGGUUGUUGUCGGAGCAGCUGUGGUUGUUGUGGGAGAAGCUGUGUUUGUUGUUGGAGAAGCAGUGGUUGUUGUUGGAGCCACUGUAGUUGUUGUGGUUGCAGAUGUGGUUGUUGUUGGAGCCACUGUGGUUGUUGAUGGAACGUCUGAGGUUGUUGUCGGAGCAUCUGUGGUUGUUGUUGGAACAUCUGUGGUUGUUGUUGGAGCAGCUGGGGUUGUUGUGGGUGCAUCUGUGGUUGUUGUGGGAGAUUCUGUGGUUGUUGUCGGAGCAGCUGUGGUUGUUGUGGGAGAAGAUGUGGUUGUUGUGGGUGCAUCUGUGGUUGUUAUUGGAGCCACUGUGGUUGUUGUUGGAGCCAAUAUUGUUGUUGUGGAUGCAGAUGUGGUUGUUGUUGGAGCCAAUGUGGUGGAUGUGGGAGCAUCUUCGGUUGUUGUGGGAGCAGCUGUGGUUGUUGUGGGUGCAUCUGUGGUUGUUGUUGGAGCAGCUGUGGUUGUUGUGGGAGCAGCUGUGGUUGUUGUGGGUGCAUCUGUGGUUUAUUUGGGAGAUUCUGUGGUUGUUGUCGGAGCAGCUGUGGUUGUUGUGGGAGAAGCUGUGGUUGUUGUUGGAACAUCUGUGGUUGUUGUGGGAGCAGCUGUGGUUGUUGUGGGUGCAGCUGUGGUUGUUGUCGGUGCAUCUGUGGUUGUUGUCGGUGCAUCUGUGGUUGUUGUGGGUGCAUCUGUGGUUGUUGUGGGAGAUUCUGUGGUUGUUGUCGGAGCAGCUGUGGUUGUUGUGGGAGAAGCUGUGUUUGUUGUGGGAGAAGGAGUGGUUGUUGUUGGGGCCACUGUAGUUGUUGUGGUUGCAGAUGUGGUUGUUGUUGGAGCCACUGUGGUUGUUGAUGGAACGUCUGAGGUUGUUGUCGGAGCAUCUGUGGUUGUUGUUGGAACAUCUGUGGUUGUUGUUGGAGCAGCUGGGGUUCUUGUGGGUGCAUCUGUGGUUGUUGUGGGAGAUUCUGUGGUUGUUGUCGGAGCAGCUGUGGUUGUUGUGGGAGAAGCUGUGGUUGUUGUGGGUGCAUCUGUGGUUGUUAUUUGAGCCACUGUGGUUGUUGUUGGAGCCAAUAUUGUUGUUGUGGCUGCAGAUGUGGUUGUUGUUGGAGCCACUGUGGUGGAUGUGGGAGCAUCUUCGUUUGUUGUGGGAGCAGCUGUGGUUGUUGUGGGUGCAUCUGUGGUUGUUGUUGGAGCAGCUGUGGUUGUUGUGGGAGCAGCUGUGGUUGUUGUGGGUGCAUCUGUGGUUGUUGUGGGAGAUUCUGUGGUUGUUGUCGGAGCAGCUGUGGUUGUUGUGGGAGAAGCUGUGGUUGUUGUUGGAACAUCUGUGGUUGUUGUGGGAUCAGCUGUGGUUGUUGUGGGUGCAGCUGUGGUUGUUGUGGGUGCAUCUGUGGUUGUUGUGGGUGCAUCUGUGGUUGUUGUGGGAGAUUCUGUGGUUGUUGUCGGAGCAGCUGUGGUUGUUGUCGGAGAAGCUGUGUUUGUUGUUGGAGAAGCAGUGGUUUUUGUUGGAGCCACUGUAGUUGUUGUGGUUGCAGAUGUGGUUGUUGUUGGAGCCACUGUGGUUGUUGAUGGAACGUCUGAGGUUGUUGUCGGAGCAUCUGUGGUUGUUGUUGGAACAUCUGUGGUUGUUGUUGGAGCAGCUGGGGUUCUUGUGGGUGCAUCUGUGGUUGUUGUGGGAGAUUCUGUGGUUGUUGUCGGAGCAGCUGUGGUUGUUGUGGGAGAAGCUGUGGUUGUUGUGGGUGCAUCUGUGGUUGUUAUUUGAGCCACUGUGGUUGUUGUUGGAGCCAAUAUUGUUGUUGUGGCUGCAGAUGUGGUUGUUGUUGGAGCCACUGUGGUGGAUGUGGGAGCAUCUUCGGUUGUUGUGGGAGCAGCUGUGGUUGUUGUGGGUGCAUCUGUGGUUGUUGUUGGAGCAGCUGUGGUUGUUGUGGGAGCAGCUGUGGUUGUUGUGGGUGCAUCUGUGGUUGUUGUGGGAGAUUCUGUGGUUGUUGUCGGAGCAGCUGUGGUUGUUGUGGGAGAAGCUGUGGUUGUUGUUGGAACAUCUGUGGUUGUUGUGGGAGCAGCUGUGGUUGUUGUGGGUGCAGCUGUGGUUGUUGUCGGUGCAUCUGUGGUUGUUGUGGGUGCAUCUGUGGUUGUUGUGGGAGAUUCUGUGGUUGUUGUCGGAGCAGCUGUGGUUGUUGUGGGAGAAGCUGUGUUUGUUGUGGGAGAAGCAGUUGUUGUUGUUGGAGCCACUGUAGUUGUUGUGGUUGCAGAUGUGGUUGUUGUUGGAGCCACUGUGAUUGUUGAUGGAACGUCUGAGGUUGUUGUCGGAGCAGCUGUGGUUGUUGUUGGAACAUCUGUGGUUGUUGUUGGAGCAGCUGUGGUUGUUGUUGGAACAUCUGUGGUUGUUGUGGGAGCAGCUGUGGUUGUUGUGGGUGCAUCUGUGGUUGUUGCGGGAGAUUCUUUGGUUGUUGUCGGAGCAGCUGUGGUUGUUGUGGGAGAAGCUGUGUUUGUUGUGGGAGAAGGAGUGGUUGUUGUUGGAGCCACUGUAGUUUUUGUGGUUGCAGAUGUGGUUGUUGUUGGAGCCACUGUGGUUGUUGAUGGAACGUCUGAGGUUGUUGUGGGUGCAUCUGUGGUUGUUGUGGGAGAUUCUGUGGUUGUUGUCGGAGCAGCUGUGGUUGUGGUGGGAGAAGCUGUGGUUGUUGUCGGAACAUCUGUGGUUGUUGUGGGAGCAGCUGUGGUUGUUGUGGGUGCAUCUGUGGUUGUUGUUGGAGCCACUGUGGUUGUUGUGGGAGCCAAUGUUGUUGUUGUGGCUGCAGAUGUGGAUGUUGUUGGAGCCACUGUGUUGGUUGUGGGAGCAUCUUCGGUUGUUGUGGGAGCAGCUGUGGUUGUUGUGGGUGGAUCUGUGGUUGUUGUUGGAGCAGCUGUGGUUGUUGUGGGAGAAGCUGUGGUUGUUGUGGGAGCAACCGUGGUUGUUGUGGAAGCAUCUGUGGUUGUUGUGGGUGCAGAUGUGGUUGUUGUUUGAUCAUCUGUGGUUGUUGUUGGAGCAGCUGUGGUUGUUGUUGGAACAUCUGUGGUUGUUGUGAGAGCAGCUGUGGUUGUUGUGGGUGCAUCUGUGGUUGUUGUGGGAGAUUCUGUGGUUGUUGUCGGAGCAGCUGUGGUUGUUGUGGGAGAAGCUGUGUUUGUUGUGGGAGAAGCAGUGGUUGUUGUUGGAGCCAAUGUAGUUGUUGUGGUUGCAGAUGUGGUUGUUGUUGAUGGAACGUCUGAGGAUGUUGUCGGAGCAGCUGUGGUUGUUGUUGGAACAUCUGUGGUUGUUGUUGGAGCAGCUGUGGUUGUUGUUGGAACAUCUGUGGUUGUUGUGGGAGCAGCUGUGGUUGUUGUGGGUGCAUCUGUGGUUGUUGUGGGAGAUUCUGUGGUUGUUGUCGGAGCAGCUGUGGUUGUUGUGGGAGAAGCUGUGGUUGUUGUUGGAACAUCUGUGGUUGUUGUGGGAUCAGCUGUGGUUGUUGUGGGUGCAUCUGUGGUUGUUGUUGGAGCCACUGUGGUUGUUGUUUGAGCCAAUGUUGUUGUUGUGGCUGCAGAUGUGGAUGUUGUUGGAGCCACUGUGGUGGAUGUGGGAGCAUCUUCGUUUGUUGUGGGAGGAGCUGUGGUUGUUGUGGGUGGAUCUGCUGUUGUUGUUGGAGCAGCUGUGGUUCUUGAGGGAGAAGCUGUGGUUGUUGUGGGAGCAACCGUGGUUGUUGUGGGAGCAGCUGUGGUUGUUGUGGAUGCAAUUGUGGUUGUUGUUGGAGCAGCUGUGGUUGUUGUUGGAGCAGCUGUGGUUGUUGUUGGAGCCACUGUGGUGGAUGUGGGAGCAUCUUCGGUUGUUGUGGGAGCAGCUGUGGUUGUUGUGGGUGCAUCUGUGGUUGUUGUUGGAGCAGCUGUGGUUGUUGUGGGAGCAGCUGAAGUUGUUGUGGGUGCAUCUGUGGUUGUUGUGGGAGCCACUGUGGUUGUUGUUGGAGCCAAUGUUGUUGUUGUGGCUGCAGAUGUGGUUGUUGUUGGAGCCACUGUGGUGGAUGUGGGAGCAUCUUCAGUUGUUGUGGGAGCAGCUGUGGUUGUUGUGGGUGGAUCUGUGGUUGUUGUUGGAGCAGCUGUGGUUGUUGUGGGAGAAGCUGUGGUUGUUGUGGGAGCAGCCGUGGUUGUUGUUGGAGCAGCUGUGGUUGUUGUUGGAACAUCUGUGGUUGUUGUGGGAGAAGCUGUGUUUGUUGUGGGAGAAGAAGUGGUUGUUGUUGGAGCCACUGUAGUUGUUGUUGUUGCAGAUAUGGUUGUUGUUGGAGCCACUGUGGUUGUUGAUGGAACGUCUGAGGUUGUUGUCGGAGCAGCUGUGGUUGUUGUUGGAACAUCUGUGGUUGUUGUUGUAGCAGCUGGGGUUGUUGUGGGUGCAUCUGUGGUUGUUGUGUGAGAUUCUGUGGUUGUUGUCGGAGCAGCUUUGGUUGUUGUGGGAGAAGCUGUGGUUGUUGUUGGAACAUCUGUGGUUGUUGUGGGAGCAGCUGUGGUUGUUGUGGGUGCAUCUGUGGUUGUUGUUGGAGCCACUGUGGUGGUUGUGGGAGCAUCUUCGGUUGUUGUGGGAGCAGCUGUGGUUGUUGUGGGUGGAUCUGUGGUUGUUGUUGGAGCAGCUGUGGUGGUUGUGGGAGAAGCUGUGGUUGUUGUGGGAGCAACCGUGGUUGUUGUGGAAGCAUCUGUGGUUGUUGUGGGUGCAGAUGUGGUUGUUGUUGGAUCAUCUGGGGUUGUUGUUGGAGCAGCUGUGGUUAUUGUUGGAACAUCUGUGGUUGUUGUGAGAGCAGCUGUGUUUGUUGUGGGUGCAUCUGUGGUCGUUGUGGGAGAUUCUGUGGUUGUUGUCGGAGCAGCUGUGGUUGUUGUGGGAGAAGCUGUGUUUGUUGUGGGAGAAGCAGUGGUUGUUGUUGGAGCCACUGUAGUUGUUGUGGUUGCAGAUGUGGUUGUUGUUGAUGGAACGUCUGAGGAUGUUGUCGGAGCAGCUGUGGUUGUUGUUGGAACAGCUGUGGUUGUUGUUGGAGCAGCUGUGGUUGUUGUUGGAACAUCUGUGGUUGUUGUGGGAGCAGCUGUGGUUGUUGUGGGUGCAUCUGUGGUUGUUGUGGAAGAAUCUGUGGUUGUUGUCGGAGUAGCUGUGGUUGUUGUGGGAGAAGCUGUGGUUGUUGUUGGAACAUCUGUGGUUGUUGUGGGAUCAGCUGUGGUUGUUGUGGGUGCAUCUCUGGUUGUUUUUGGAGCCACUGUGGUUGUUGUUGGAGCCAAUGUUGUUGUUGUGGCUGCAGAUGUGGAUGUUGUUGGAGCCACUGUGGUGGAUGUGGGAGCAUCUUCGGUUGUUGUGAGAGGAGCUGUGGUUGUUGUGGGUGGAUCUGUUGUUGUUGUUGGAGCAGCUGUGGUUCUUGUGGGAGAAGCUGUGGUUGUUGUGGGAGCAACCGUGGUUGUUGUGGGAGCAGCUGUGGUUGUUGUGGGUGCAAUUGUGGUUGUUGUUGGAGCAGCUGUGGUUGUUGUGGGAGCAGCUGUGGUUGUUGUGUGUGCAAUUGUGGUUGUUGUUGGAGCAGCUGUGGUUGUUGUGGUUGCAGAUGUGGUUGUUGUUGGAGCCACUGUGGUUAUUGAUGGAACGUCUAAGGUUGUUGUCGGAGCAGCUGUGGUUGUUGUUGGAACAUCUGUGGUUGUUGUUGGAGCAGCUGUGGUUGUUGUUGGAACAUCUGUGGUUGUUGUGGGAACAGCUGUGGUUGUUGUGGGUGCAUCUGUGUUUGUUGUGGGAGAUUCUGUGGUUGUUGUCGGAGCAGCUGUGGUUGUUGUGGGAGAAGCUGUGUUUGUUGUGGGAGAAGCAGUGGUUGUUGUUGGAGCCACUGUGGUUGUUGUGGGUGGAGAUGUGGUUGUUGUUGGAACAGCUGUGGUUGUUGUGGGUGAAGAUGUGGUUGUUGUUGGAACAGCUGUGGUUGUUGUGGGAGAAGCAGUAAUUGUUGGGAGAGCAGCUGUGGUUGUUAUGGUAGCAGCUGUGGUUGUUCUGGGAGAAGCUGUGGUUGUUGUUGGAGAAGCUGUGGUUGUUGUUAGAACAUCUGGGGUUGUUGUCAGAGAAUCUGUGGUUGUUGUGGGAACAGCUGUGGUUGUUGUGGAAGCAACUGUGAUUGUUGUAUCCACAGCUGAAGUUGGAGUUGAGGCUGCUGGGGGUUGUGUUGGUGCAAUGACCUCUGUAAUUAUGAAAUGGAUGUUAGGUAUUUUAUUCUUAUUGGUCCAAUGGUGUUCUAUAGGAUUUCAUUAUACCUGAAACGUUGUAACUGUACAGUGGCUAAAAAUUGUGUACAACUCUAAACAAAUUGACAAAAAAUCCAGUCAACAAAGUUACAGACGUUUCAUCAAGUGUUGAGGACGUAGGGUUACUCAGUUUUGCUUCUUGUUGUUAAGCUUAAGAUAAGAAGGUAUUGGGUUUUCUCUUCAGAAGUAAACAUUUUUACAACCACAUUUGUUAGAUUGUUUUCUAUGUCAAAUAGCAAAAAUAAAAGACUGAUAAUCAACUCCAGGCUGCGUAGUUAAAUGGAAAUGACCGACUUCACCUGUUUGGUAUCAUAUCACACCC
This 15533-nucleotide long non-coding RNA is filed under the name Salmo salar (Atlantic salmon). RNAcentral's name for it is "lncRNA (ENSSSAG00000121861.1)". Lineage: Eukaryota; Metazoa; Chordata; Actinopteri; Salmoniformes; Salmonidae. The record is from RNAcentral.